UUCUAGCAAGAUUCCUGUAGCAGAUUGAGCUCUGGCAGUUGAUCUCAGUGGCUUGAUAGAGUGUCAUUAUAAAAACGCACCUGGAAGAUUCUGUGGAAAAGACAACCUCAGAAGACCAAGGUGAAUCCAAGGCCUGAUCUGGACUCUUAAUGGGUGGUUAAAUUCUAGUUCCUUUAAAUAAGCAUCAAAGACGCCACAAAACCACAGAUAAAGCUGCCAUAGACAGCUAUAUUUGGGACUCAUUUAUCAUUUGUCACAAGCAUUUCAUCCUCUUGCAAUAUUUUUUUCUACUUAGUACUUCUACAAGAAGAGGCUGACUUUGCAAGAGAGAGUCCGUUUACCACUUAGAACCGUGAACACCACCCCCGCCCUCAUUUAUCUCCAGACUUGAACUAGUGGUUAAAUCCCAACAUGUCCCAGAGAAGUCAAAAGCAUUGUAAAAUCUGGGAAUCUGCCCACCACUCAAGCCUGGGAAAGCUGGCAGAGGAUGCACGUGUUUUACUCACCUGAGUGUUUACAAUGCUCGUGAGGUGCCUCCCUGAUAUUUUUAUAGCAGAAUGGAGAAACACAACCAAGGAGAUACACCUAAGUAACAACAGCAAUGAUGUCAAAAAGAGUGCCUGAAUACUUAGGGUGGAGGUCCUGGACAUGCAAACCCAAGCUUCCUCUUUGCUGUGGCCAGGAAUCUGCAGUGAUUGAGAGCACAGACUGUAUCUAAAAUUCCACCUUUCAAAGUUCAGCAUAUUACUUUUUUUUUUCUUACACCUAUAAGUACAGAGGAAUGAAGAAGGAAUAAACAGACCUUCUGGAUAAUUGCAUCAGCCUUCCCCACUAUUCCAAUGCCAUGCUAACAUUUCAAGUAAUGUCCCUUUUGUCUUGCUGAGAAAAAAUCAUUUCAUGAUUUAUUACACUGGAUUAAAGGCUAUGCACACUCUGGAGUUGGAACAUGACUGAAGGGCAAGCAAGCAUAAAGGAUAUCAGAAACAGUUGAUGUGUUUAAAUUUUUCUGAAUUUCUCAAGUAAACUUUUUAGAAAGUAGUCUGAAGAUAAAAUGGUUAUAUAAGUUACUUAAACUGUAGAUGAUGGCACCUUUAUCCCUAUAUAAUAAAAUUAAGAUAACUCUUCUGGGCACUUUAUUUGGAAUUAAUUAUUUAAUCCUCAUAACAACGCCAUGAAGAUCAUACUAUUACCAUCCAAAGUUUACUGAGGAAGAUACUGAGGCAAGGUUGGUGACUAGUAACAUGACCACAUUUGCUGUGGAUAGGUCAAUCCAGGACAUCUGACUUCAAAACUUGCAAUCUUAGCCAUAUGAUAAUUUGCAUCUUUAUUUUGAUUCAUGAUUCUAAGAAAUGUUCAUUGAGCUCUUACGCUGUUACAGACCCCACAGAAGCAGCAAGUAAUGGAAUUAAAAAAAAUCUCUUCUCUCUUGGAGCUGACAUUAUAGUGGGAAAUGGAAAUAAUUAGAAGAUUGUUGUCAUAUUAAAAUAUACAAUCCAUUGUGCCUGAAACUAUGGAGGCUAAAAUGGAUAGCUUGCUUCCUUGAAAUCUUAGGGAAAAGAUGAUUAAUGUUUGCCAAAGAAUUGAAAGGCCCAAAUUGAGAAUAACUGGAGUCCUUAAACUUGCCAUUUUGCAUUCUAGCAAAAUCAUACAUCUUUGAUUUAAUAAUUAGAAGGGAAGCAAGCUACUGCUCCUUUGUGUAUAAUUACAAGCUUGUUGCAGGCAAAUAAUUCUGUAUAUUAACAACUUUUUCACAUUUUUGGUGAAUCAUUAUCUCUUCAGUUUCUGACAUUAUAACAGCUAUCAUAUUUGUAUACUUUCUAUCAAAUUUGCCUUGAUAUGAAGGGGUUUUACAAACUUAUUGAUCAUUUAUGCCAUGUAUAGUGUUAUUGGGGAUAUAACAAAAAUAAAAAACUGUUUUGGUCCUCAAUAGAUUUACAAUCCAAAGCAGAGUGGGAGGAAGAGACCUACAAGACCAUGUUUCAUUGGAUAGCUUUGGAGUAAUAUCUAUAAUUUUAGAAAAAAGUUAAGAGGAAGAAGAAACUGGUGUCAGCUACACUUAGAAGAUUUUACAACAGAGACUGGCUUCCAUUCACUGAUCAGACAUUCACUGAUUUUUAAUUCUUACCACCAGAGAAAAAGUUGUUAUGAUGAGGGUCCUCAGGAAAGACAAUACAGUCAGCCGAGAAAUACAAUUUUCUUUGUCUACUGUUGUUUCCUUUACACGGACCAUUGAAAUAUAUACUUAACCACCAGCAAAACUCCUAUUAAACACAAGUAAAAAAAAAUCACUACAUGCAAAAGAGUGAACACCAGGCAAAGUGAUAAUUUAUGAAUUUCCAGGAUUUUUGUUGUAAUUUACCCGUGUAAGUUUACAAUAAAUGAUUGAUGUAACUAAAUUUAUGGAUUGCAAUUAAUUACUAGGUUUGUACCACAGAUGAAGUAAUAUAUAUAUUGUCUAAUUUAAUAAUGAUUUGUCUACAGAAUUCAACCAACUGCUCAUUACAGAAUCUGAUGAACCUACCUUUAGACUACCUGUUAUCUUAACUACCUGUGAAGAUACUAUAUAUGAUGUAAUAGGUUUAACAAAUAAUGAAGGACCUUUUGUCCUUGCUUGACUCAAGAAGGGAUGGAGGGUCUCCAAGAAAUAUAAAUGUAGUCUGCUAUAAUGGGUAUUAGCUAGAUUAGUACUUCAGAAAAGGAAGAAUUAUUUUCAUUAUCAAAUGAUUAUUUGAUAUUUCCAUUCUGCAUUCUAAGCACAUAUUAGUUGAUGUACAGGUGCUGCUGGAUAACUGUUUGGAAACAGACCACAAAAUCGCUCCAAAAGGUAAAAUUCUCAAAUAACAGAGUUGUCAUGGUUGUAAAAAAAAGGUAUGAUAAAUACAUAAAAGCUGGCAAAAAUGGGGAAGGAUUAAAACUGUAACCUUAGUUAUCCUUCAGUAAACAUAGUUAAGUAGAAUGAAGCAGAUGUUUAUUCUGGUAGAUUCUAUUGCAAUGUUACAUUUUAACUUAAUAUUUCUAUUUUGUGAUUUAUUUUUAGUAUAGCAAAAUGUUUGGUUAAUAUUGUGGGUAUUGAUACUGUGUUAAAAUUUGUGACAGUCUAUUUAAUUUUUCAAUAUGAAGAAGUAUUACUGCUAUGAUGAAAUAUUUACUGUUGUGGUGGAAAUAAAUAAGAAAAUAGAAUUGACUAAAAGCAAAACAAACCAAUAAAAAAAGAAAAAAAGUCUGUUAUUUAUCAACAAAACAUUAGGAAAUUUACAUGCUUAAAGUAAACUUUGAUUCCCUAUUCCAAAGUGCCUUAUAUAUUCUACUCUCUUUGCUUUCACAUAAAUUUAUUCUAUGCUAUAAUGUAACUGGUAUACUAUUAAGUCCCAUACAUAUGUUACAUUGAACCAUACAUUUUUCUAUUCCAGGAAAGAGAAUUUUCUCAUUUUUUCCACCACUACCAUCCACCACAAUGACCACUAUUUUUCUCUUCACUUAAAAAGUAUCAUUUAUCUAAAGUUAAUGGCAUAGUUUCAGACUUCUCAUGUGUCCAAGCAUAUGAAUUAACAGUUCCUAUGUUAUUGUCCUAAGAUUUGUAGGUUAAACCUUGGAUAUUCCCAUCUGAGCAUCUGUACCAAACAGAAAAGACCUGUGUGAGUUCCUGAGAACCAGUGCUCAUUCCAGAAGAGACAGGUUUCUCUCCAGGAAGAAAUGUCUGAAAUUCAGUGAAUUAAAAUCCUCAUUGAGUCUUCCUACUCUUUACUUCUCCCUGGAAAAACUGGUUACGAAAAUUUAAUAUUCUGUCAUGAUAAGAUCAAGCUCUAUCAGAUCAGCCAUACAUAUCAAGUACAUUUUGACAAACUUGAUUCAUACUGUUUUCAAAUUAUGAACAACCAAGGCUCUUCUAUCCAAAAAUAUUGAUUAUUUAAUUCUGAAUAUCAUUACAGAGCAGUAAUAUGCUCUCAGCAUUUGGGGAUACAAGAGUCAGAAGAUGGACAAGCUUCCUUCCUAACAACAAUUACCACUUAAUUACAAUAUACCAAGUAGUAUUUUAUCUGCUAGGUAUAUUGGACUUACUUUUCACAGAUAGUUUAUACUAACAAAAUUUCUAACCAAAAUAUUUCUUGAAAAUUACUGAUUUUAUUUGAAAUUAUGUGCAGGAAAAAUACAAGCAUAUCUCUGAAUUUCUAUUUGUCUGUUAAACAAAAGGGGAUAAAUAUGACUAAUGUCAUUUAACAAGAGGAAUUACAGACUAUGAAAAGAGUAGCUUAUUUAUAUCAACUCACAAUACUUUCCAGAGAGAGAAAGAAAAAGGCUAUUAUGUGGCCUGAACAAGAAGUUGGCCAUCCUUUUCCCUUUCUUUGUGGAAGAUGGUCCUGAUAGGAUAGAGACUUAAAGAAGGGAUUGAUUUGUUUUCUCCAGCUGUCCUAAUAGUGAGUGAAUAAAAUUAACUGUGAACUAUUUCAAUCAAUAACUCAAUGAUUGACUUACAUUGAUUAGAAAAGAGCUGAUUCUUUGCCAUGGAUAUCUAGAUACCUUGAUGAUCCUAUUUUGAACCAAUUUAAAAGUAGGACAAUACCCACUGGAUGGAAGUUUCAAAACCUGAAAACAAUAAAACCCACAAGAUUUUAUUUCUUUUAAUAACUUCUGUGACAAUGAAAUUGAAGUCUUACACACUUUUUUUUUUUUUUACUCCAGUGUCUUGUUAUCUGGAGCAAAAUUCAGAAAGGAGAGCAACUAUGUAAAAAAGUAAGAAUUUUGGCUUGCUAUGCCAUUCUUAGAGGUUUCUUUUAUCUUUAUAUUUUCUUGAAAUGUCUUGUGUAAAAUUUAAACAACUUCCUGUACUAUAAAUAAGAUAUUUUGAAGGCAAGCAUAUGCAUAGAUAAUACUUUAGAAAAGAAUUGUGAUUCCAAUUCUGUACUUAGCACUUAAUAUUAAAAGUUUCUUAUAGUGAAUAUAAUUUUCUACAACAGAUAGUACAAUUUUGUUUCACCAUUAACAGGUAAAUAAGUAAAUAUACAUUUAAAUAAAUAUUAUAAAGUUCAUUUGUUAAUUAAUACAAACAUUAUAAAUUAUUGAAUACUUUUUCCAAUGGACAAGCAGCUUUAAAAACCUGCUUUCACCACUUUAUUUAUUUAUUUUUUUUUGAGACAGAGUCUCGCUCUGUCGCCUAGGCUAGAGUGAUCUCGGCUCACUGCCAGCUCUGCCUCCCGGGUGCACGCCAUUCUCCUGCCUCAGCCUCCCAAGUAGCUGGGACUACAGGCACCCGCCACCACACCCGGCUAAUUUUUUGUAUUUUUUUAGUAGAGACAGGAUUUCACCGUGUUAGCCAGGAUGGUCUUGAUCUCCUGACCUCGUGAUCUGCCCACCUCAGCCUCCCAAAGUGCUGGGAUUACAGGCAUGAGCCACCGUGCCCGGCCUUUUUUUGGUAUUUUUAGUAGACAUGGGGUUUCACCCUGUUAGCCAGGAUGGUCUCGAUCUCCUGACCUCGUUAUCCACCCGCCGCGGCCUCCCAAAGUGCUGGGAUUACAGGCAUGAGCCACCGUGCCAGGCCACUUUCACCACUCUUAAUCCUCUGAGGUGAAGAGGUCUUUUAAACUAUAGUUUGUAUAACUGAAAAUCAAAAGAAAAAAGUUUUAAUGAAGUUUUUGUAAUUAGUAAGAAACAUAAGGGAAUACCAAAAGCAAACUUUUUUGAAUGCUUACUUUUGGGGAAGCAUUGAAUUUUAUAUCUGGUAUAUGAUAAUUCAUAUCUUAGGAUAUGCUCCCCUUUCUAUAAGUAGGAAUUAGGAAACACGGAGAGGUGAAUUUUUUGCUCAUGAAUGAAUUUACCCAUUAGGCAUUUUUGAGAGGUAUCAGUAGUCAGCAGUUAUCACUUUCUUCUACUCUUCAUAUUGCUAGAGACAUAGUGACUCCAUGUCUUAUAGAAUGUUCAUUUUCUCUUUCACUUAUCCCAUAUCAUGUGCCAGCUAUUGAUCCAAUCAAUUUUAACAAUGAAAGUUCUAAACCAGGAACCAUUUACACUGGAUCUUACAUUUGCCCUGGGUAAGAUGGCAGUUGAUGGCAGUGUCCACGUGCAUCAGGAAGAAGUCUUCAUUAGCUUCAUGAUUUAAGUCCUUAAAUGUAAUUUUAUCACAGAAAACAUAACCUAUAUUCAAGCCUUAACCUUAACUUAGUCCUCAUAUUCAUUGUUACCCUUACCAAGUUUUUCUUAAUUGUAUGCCUAGCAUGCAAAUGAUACGGACAGGAGACAGGGAAAUACAGGGUAGAAAAGGGCAGUUCCCCAGCAAAGGCCCCACCCUCAAGCCUGAAAAACCAUGGCCCUAAAUGAGGACAGGCAUUCCUGUUGUCACACCCAAAAAGUUGCCUUUUGGCCUGCCAUGCCCCAUAUCCUGUACCCAUAUAAAUCCCGAACCCCACGCUCCAGAAGCAGAUGAGCAGGUGAGGAAAUGAGGAGUCAAACAGAUGGAUAGUAGAACGACACAGCAAAGAAAGAAGAGGAAUGUCUGAAUACCAAGAGGAGUUCAGCUGGGGGCAGUUAGGGAGAGGUUUGGAGACUGGCCAGUUUCCAGGGGAAGAUCACCUUCCUAUUCUAUCCCCUCCUUCUGCCUCCUCAUCCAGCGCACUGAGAGCCACCUCCACCACUCAAUAAAAACCUUGCAUUCAUCCUUUAAGCCCGUGUGUGACCUGAUUCUUCCAGGACGGUGGGUAAGAGCUCAGGAUACUGAAAGCUGUCACACUGGCUCUCUGCGCUUGCGAAAAGGCAGAGGGUCCAUUGAGCUGGUUAACACUUAAAAUCAUCUGCAGACAGCAAGGCUAAGAGAGCAUCAGUUAACACUGUGGCUGCAGGCACCCACCCCAAGACACUGCCGUGUGACCAGAGAACACAGUGCUUGCUCCAGCCUCUGCACCCACCUGUCUGCAUGAUCCCUCUCCCUCAAGGGUUUUGAGCAGCAGUGGUGACCAAAUAGCCAAGCCACUCCCCUGUUGCAAGUCCUGAGAGGGGGAUCAGGGAACUCUCCCAUUUCACUUAGGCAGGGAAGGGGUAAGACUAUGGGAUGGACUAAGAAUGUAGAUUUUACAUAUCACUUGGUAAUUUGUUACAAAUUAUUUGGUAAUUUUUUUUUCUUUUUGAGACAGAGUCUUGCUCUGUUGCCCAGAGCCGGAGUGAAUGGCCAGUCUUGGCUCACUGCAACCUCCACCUCCUGGGUUCAAGCAGUUCUCCUGCCUCAGCCUCCCGAGUAGCUGGGAUUACAGGUGUGCGCCACCAAGCCCUGGCUAAUUUUUGUAUUUUUAGUAGAGAUGGGGUUUCACCAUGUUGGCCAGGCUGGUCUAGAACUCCUGACCUCAUAAUCCACCCACCUCAGCCUCCCAAAAUGCUGAGAUUACAGGCAUAAGCCACCGUGCCCAGCCUACUUGGUAAUUUUUAAAAGCUACAGGUUUAAUAGUUAAUUUCUCAAGCAAAUAAAAGAUGUUCCCAACUCCAAACUGCUUUAUUAAAUAAUUUAACCUAAUUAAAUAGAAUCCUGAUCAUGGACCAUAUAGUUUAUUAUCCAAACUGGAGCCACAGGCAGUAGACAGGAUUGAACCAGACAAUCCUGCAAGAUCACCCACCCUCCUUCAAAGAGAUAUUGUCUGUGAGUGGACAUUAUCCUCACAGCCUUAUACCUCUUUUUUCCAAUGGACAAUUGCAUAUGAAAUGACAGCAGAAAAAUUAAAAAACAGGGCAUCCCCAAGGGCAAAAUAAUGUAGGCCCAACUCAACACAUCAAAGAUGAAAAACUGCAGAAUAUAGCACUCCUCCAACCUGAGCUGUAAAAAGUUAUAUUCUUCAAAUAAUUUUCACUACCACUCUAUAUAACCAUGUUAAAUACAUUAGCACAACAUACUGAUGAAAAUAAAUGUCUUCCAAGAUUUGCACAUAAAUGCAAAGAGGAUCGUAAUCAUUACUUUUAAGAGAUUUGGGGUCAGUUGGUGUGUGUAUAGGGGAGUGUGUUUUAUUGUGAUAUAAUUCAAAAACCAUACAACUGAACAGUUUAAUAUAUUAGCAGAGUUCUGCAACCAUCACCACUAUCUAAUUAUAGAAGAAUUUCAACACCUCAAACACAAACUCCAUACCAUUUAACAAUCACUCUUAAUUCUUCAUUCUCCCCACUCCCAGGCAAACACAAAUCUACUUUCUGUCUCUGUGGUUUUGCCUGUUCCGGACAUUUCAUAUAAAUGAAAUCAUACAAUGCCUUUUCUGGCUGAAUUCUUUUUACAAUAUAAUAAUUUCAAGGUUCAUUCAUGUUGUAACACGUAUCAGUACAUCAUUCCUUUUUAUUUCUGAAUGAUAUUGAAUUAUAUGGACAUACUACAUUUUGUUAUCCACUCAUCAGUUGCUGGACAUCUGUAUUAUUUCCAUUUCUGAGGUAUUAUGUGUAACACUGCUAUGGACAUUUAUGUGGAAUUUUUUGUGGACAUAUGUUUUCACUUCUCUUGGAUAUAUACCCAGGAGUGUAAAUUGCUGGUCAUAUUGUCUCUGUUUUAUAAUACAUUUUGAGGAACUGCCAAACUGCUUUCCAAUGUGACUUCACCACUUUAAAAUCCCACAGCAAUAUAUGAUAAUUACAAUUUCUCCAUAUCCUCACCAACAUUUGUUAUCAUCUGUUUUUUUUAUCUGAGCCGUCCUAGUGAGUAUAAAGUGGUAUCUCAUUAUAGUUUUGAUUAGCAUUUCCCUUCUGGCUAAUGAUGCUGAGUAUCUUUUCAUGUGUUUCUUAGCCAUUUGCAUAUUUUUCCUUGAAAACAGUCUAUUAAGAUAUUUUUCCUUAUUUUUGAAUGGGUUAUUUGUUUUUUCACUACUGAAUUGUAAGAGUAGUUUCUUUAUGCUAAAUACAAGAGCUGUAUCAGUUAUAUGUUUUGCAAUUGUUUUCCCUUUUACUGGAUUGUUAUAAUAAAGAGUCUGACUCCAUUAUUGAUGUGUGACUCUUGGCAGCUUUUAAAACCCCAUCCUAAUGUCUUCCCCUUCUGUCCCGCACUGGACCAUGAUGAUAAGAAAGUCUGGGUUUUCCCACCUUUGGCACUGAAGGGAAGUUCAAACCACACAGGGGGACCCUCAGCCCAGCCUCAUCUUAUAACCCCCAUAAAACCCCCA
Molecule: long non-coding RNA, 9113 nt
Filed under: Homo sapiens (human)
Lineage: Eukaryota; Metazoa; Chordata; Mammalia; Primates; Hominidae
Description: HSALNT0078310
Source: RNAcentral